UGGGGAAUAUUGGACAAUGGGCGAAAGCCUGAUCCAGCCAUGCCGCGUGUGUGAAGAAGGUCUUCGGAUUGUAAAGCACUUUAAGUUGGGAGGAAGGGCAGUAAGCGAAUACCUUGCUGUUUUGACGUUACCGACAGAAUAAGCACCGGCUAACUCUGUGCCAGCAGCCGCGGUAAUACAGAGGGUGCAAGCGUUAAUCGGAAUUACUGGCGUAAAGCGCGCGUAGGUGGUUCGUUAAGUUGAAUGUGAAAGCCCCGGGCUCAACCUGGGAACUGCAUCCAAAACUGGCGAGCUAGAGUAGGGCAGAGGGUGGUGGAAUUUCCUGUGUAGCGGUGAAAUGCGUAGAUAUAGGAAGGAACACCAGUGGCGAAGGCGACCACCUGGGCUCAUACUGACACUGAGGUGCGAAAGCGUGGGGAGCAAACAGG
This 428-nucleotide ribosomal RNA is filed under the name Pseudomonadota bacterium. RNAcentral's name for it is "Proteobacteria bacterium partial 16S ribosomal RNA". It matches the Rfam family "Bacterial small subunit ribosomal RNA", at positions 355 to 776 of the family's 1533-position model. The record is from RNAcentral. Lineage: Bacteria; Pseudomonadati; Pseudomonadota.